Molecule: ribosomal RNA, 450 nt
Filed under: uncultured bacterium
Lineage: Bacteria
Description: partial 16S ribosomal RNA
Rfam family: Bacterial small subunit ribosomal RNA
Source: RNAcentral
CCUACGGGGGGCUGCAGUCGAGGAUCUUCGGCAAUGGGCGCAAGCCUGACCGAGCGACGCCGCGUGCGGGAUGAAGGCCUUCGGGUUGUAAACCGCUGUCAGGGGGGAUGAAAUCAUGGUGGGUACUCCCAUCAUGUUGACAGAGCCCCAGAGGAAGCGCGGGCUAAGUUCGUGCCAGCAGCCGCGGUAAUCCGAACUGCGCGAACGACAUUCGGAAUCACUGGGCUUACAGGGAUCGUAAGUAGCAUGUGAAAUGCCUUGGCUCAACCAAGGCACAGCGCUCUAAACUACUUUGCUUGAGUGAGUCAGGGGUGCACGGAACUUCCGGUGGAGCGGUGAAAUGUGUUGAUAUCGGAAGGAACACCGGCGGCGAAAGCGGUGCACUGGGGCUUAACUGACACUGAGGCACGAAAGCCAGGGGAGCGAACGGGAUUAGAUACCCGAGUAGUC